UGCAGUCGAGCGGCAGCGCGGGGCAACCUGGCGGCGAGCGGCGAACGGGUGAGUAACAUAUCGGAACGUACCCAGUGGUGGGGGAUAACACAUCGAAAGAUGUGCUAAUACCGCAUACGACCUGAGGGUGAAAGGGGGGGAUCGCAAGACCUCUCGCCGUUGGAGCGGCCGAUAUCGGAUUAGCUAGUUGGUGAGGUAAAGGCUCACCAAGGCGACGAUCCGUAGCUGGUCUGAGAGGACGACCAGCCACACUGGAACUGAGACACGGUCCAGACUCCUACGGGAGGCAGCAGUGGGGAAUUUUGGACAAUGGGGGAAACCCUGAUCCAGCCAUUCCGCGUGAGGGAAGAAGGCCUUCGGGUUGUAAACCUCUUUCGGCAGGAACGAAACGGUGCGGGUUAAUACCUUGCAUCAAUGACGGUACCUGAAGAGGAAGCACCGGCUAACUACGUGCCAGA
This 458-nucleotide ribosomal RNA is filed under the name uncultured bacterium. RNAcentral's name for it is "bacterial SSU rRNA". It matches the Rfam family "Bacterial small subunit ribosomal RNA", at positions 56 to 512 of the family's 1533-position model. The record is from RNAcentral.